This 476-nucleotide ribosomal RNA is filed under the name uncultured Glomus. RNAcentral describes it as "SSU rRNA". It matches the Rfam family "Eukaryotic small subunit ribosomal RNA", at positions 569 to 1044 of the family's 1831-position model. Lineage: Eukaryota; Fungi; Glomeromycota; Glomeromycetes; Glomerales; Glomeraceae. The record is from RNAcentral.
AGCAGCCGCGGUAAUUCCAGCUCCAAUAGCGUAUAUUAAAGUUGUUGCAGUUAAAAAGCUCGUAGUUGAAUUUCGGGAUCAGUACGCUGGUCAUGCCUUUGGUAUGCACUGGUGUCACUGGUUUCUCCCUUCUGAAGAUCCGUGAUGUCAUUAAUUUGGUGUCGCGGGGAAUCAGGACUGUUACUUUAGAAAAAUUAGAGUGUUUAAAGCAGGCUCACGCUUGAAUACAUUAGCAUGGAAUAAUGAAAUAGGACGUUUGACCCUAUUUUGUUGGUUUCUAGGAUCGACGUAAUGAUUAAUAGGGAUAGUUGGGGGCAUUAGUAUUCAAUUGUCAGAGGUGAAAUUCUUGGAUUUAUUGAAGACUAACUACUGCGAAAGCAUUUGCCAAGGAUGUUUUUACAUUAAUCUAAGAACGAAAGUUAAGGGGAUCGAAGACGAUCAGAUACCGUCGUAGUCUUAACCAAUAAACUAUGCCG